AUUGAACGCUGGCGGCAGGCCUAACACAUGCAAGUCGAGCGGAUGAAGGGAGCUUGCUCCUGGAUUCAGCGGCGGACGGGUGAGUAAUGCCUAGGAAUCUGCCUGGUAGUGGGGGAUAGCGUCCGGAAACGGGCGCUAAUACCGCAUACGUCCUGAGGGAGAAAGUGGGGGAUCUUCGGACCUCACGCCAUCAGAUGAGCCUAGGUCGGAUUAGCUAGUUGGUGGGGUAAAGGCCUACCAAGGCGACGAUCCGUAACUGGUCUGAGAGGAUGAUCAGUCACACUGGAACUGAGACACGGUCCAGACUCCUACGGGAGGCAGCAGUGGGGAAUAUUGGACAAUGGGCGAAAGCCUGAUCCAGCCAUGCCGCGUGUGUGAAGAAGGUCUUCGGAUUGUAAAGCACUUUAAGUUGGGAGGAAGGGCAGUAAGUUAAUACCUUGCUGUUUUGACGUUACCAACAGAAUAAGCACCGGCUAACUUCGUG
Molecule: ribosomal RNA, 484 nt
Filed under: uncultured bacterium
Lineage: Bacteria
Description: partial 16S ribosomal RNA
Rfam family: Bacterial small subunit ribosomal RNA
Source: RNAcentral